GACUCUUUUUCUUCUUUUCCCAUAGCCACAACAUCUGGGAAUCUGUUGUCUCACCUGAGGGCAGUAAGUCCCCAAAUCUCAUUCAAGUUCUUCAACAUAAUACCUGGGUAUCACUGCUUAUUAUUCAGGGCCCAAGGGCUCUUCAGUUAGCAGGCGAUGAAUGGUGCCAGGACUCAGUCCUUCUAUUUAAGGUAGCAGGUUUCCUUCUGGCCCAAAGUGUGUCUAGGAAUGUUAUCAAGCAGUUUGGGAAUGUAAAGUGGGCCUCAUACCUCUGACUGGUGCCCUAUCCUUGUGGCUGAGCUGGCAUUCAGGAUGCAAGACAAAGUCCUACCUACUAUUCCCACUCCUCUCCUCAAGCAGAAGAAAUGGGUCUCUUUUGGAGCUAUGAGCUGUGCAGCCUGGGGUUAGGGGAGGGAUGAUGCCAACAAUCCCUUAGCCUCCUUGGCUGAGAUAUGUCAAGUGUCCCGCAGUCCUCUGACUCUUGGCCCAGUUUGUCACUAGGACUCACAUAGGUGUUGCAGCCUAGACUGCCUUUCAAAUUUAUUUACAGCCCAGAGAGCACUUUAGCCCAUGGUGAUGAGGCUUGUGGGAACUCAAGUACUGUCCGCUGGAUUAACAAUUUUCCCCCAGCUAAGGCUUGUUUAAAUACUCCCUCCACAGGUGGGCGUAGGCUGAGUUUGGUCCACUUUUCAUUUCUUUUCUGUUAUAACAGGACAGCACUGAGUUCAAUGCCUCAUGAUUGCUGUGCUUUCUCUACCUCAGUACACAGAAACCUCUCUGGACCACUCUGGCGCUGCUGCCAGGGGAUGGGAAAAGGAUGGUGUCAGUGAUUCAAGACUGUUUUUCUACCUUUUCUGUGCCUGCUUCAGCAAUAUGAAGUUAAAAUCAGAUACCGAGUCUUUCUGAGGAUAUGACGCCAAGAAAAACAGAUGACUUAGAAUGUGGGAAAUGCAAGAUAUGCAAUUCGCUUGGAGGAAAGUGGAAGGUACUCUAUUUGCAACAGAGAGUGGAAGCUGCUAAUGUGCCAAGAAAUUUAUAACUUACAAGUUAAGUUGUCCAUAUAUGAAGUAGACAUCAAAGGAUACAAUAAAGCUGUGGUGUAUAUUUUGAAUUCUAUCAUUGUCAACCUUGUGAAUUUCUAAAAUUUAACUAAGAUACAAAUGUUUAGAUUCUAUUCCUCCAGAGAAGACGAAAGAUGGUU
This 1201-nucleotide long non-coding RNA is filed under the name Callithrix jacchus (white-tufted-ear marmoset). RNAcentral describes it as "lncRNA (ENSCJAG00000082997.1)". Lineage: Eukaryota; Metazoa; Chordata; Mammalia; Primates; Cebidae. The record is from RNAcentral.